This is a non-coding RNA of Pelobates cultripes (western spadefoot toad), 443 nucleotides long. The record is from the annotation of a GenBank genome assembly. Lineage: Eukaryota; Metazoa; Chordata; Amphibia; Anura; Pelobatidae.
CUUUGCUUUUUCAAUUCUAACUUUAGUAAGUAACCCUGGGAUUUUUUUAGAAGUUAGAACAGGAAUGUAUUGAUAUUUAAAUACAUUUAUAAAUACUAGCUAUGCACUAGCAAGAGUAUGCAUGAGCCAUCGGUGCUUGGCAAGCAUUGGCAUGUGGAAUGCAACGCUCAUCGUAUAUUUGGAUGAGCAUGAUUAGAGCUGCAGUUGGCAUAUAAAAAGUACAACAGCUUCUGUGUUUUUUUCAUCUCUGACAAUCUGGAUACAAGCAUCCAAAAUGUCCGAAGACAUGUCUAACCUCCUGGUGUAUGAUUUAAUUCUACAUGCCGUGUCCUAGCUCGCUGUAUAAAGGCUCAUUGUUGCAUGCUCUCCAUCUCCUGGCAGAGUUCACAGUGAGCUGCUGUUCUCCAUAUUGUUGUUGGCAGUGAUGCCAGGGUGGGGGGGGG